CAUGGGUAUGCAUUUCAGCAAGGCAGCCGUCACACACUGCCCGUCCCUCCAGGAGAAACAGAGGCCACGCACACAACUGAUGCUCCAGGCACCUCGCUGCAGCUGCCGGAGCCCAGCCCGAUGCCCGUGCCCACACCUCGCACUUGGACGGAUGGCCUGCUUUCUUCAAGGCGCCCGACAAACAGACACGGUUCCAACGGCGAACACCUGUGCCGGGACGACCUGCCCACUGGCAGCAGGGCACCACCAGAGCGGCCCCUGCCAGGCCAGAUAGCUGCCGGGCUCAGCUGCCCCUGCCUCGGCCCUCACAGCCCACCAACCCAGGCUCCGUGGCACCCAGGAUGUGCAACAGGCCCAGCAGCCCCCAGCUGCCCCAGGCAUCAAUACCGCCCCCCCGUCCCCCUCCACCCUCUUUCAGGGAGCGGGAGGAACUCGCCCUGGUUGGAGGCUUGUGGUCAUCGGCCGGCACCCAAACAAAGGCUCCUUGGCAGAUGAGUGACAGGCCCAGCUGCCCCCGGGCAUCAACACCACCACCCCGUCCCCCUCCACCAUCCUUCAGGGGAUAGGAACAGUUCCCCCAGGCUGUAGGCUUGACAGCUCUGUCCUUCAGGAGGUUGGAGCAGGCCACCCAAGGUGUCGGUUUGCGGGCAUCAUCCAACACCCAGAAUACCACUGCCAGGGGGAAGUAUGACAGGCCCAGCAGCCCCCAGCCCUGGACAGCAGCCACCAGACAGCAGGCACCAUCCUGCUCUGACUAGGAGGCAGUAAUUUGCUCUGCAAUAGGAACCAAGCAAGAACUAUUAGCACAUUUUCUUCCUCCUCUAUUUCAUUUCACUUUGUGGGCUAGAAUGAAAAUCUGGAAGUUGAGAGAGAAGGGAUGAAGACAGUGCUGUAAACCUCGUAUGUCUGCCACUGCUAUCACUCUGUGAUAAAGCACUAGCUUUAUCAUAGAGUGAUAGCUCUCCAGCACCUGCCCGAGGUCACUGAUUUCUCAGGAUCCUCCAAGGGGUGCAACAUUCCUGUGUUUCCUCUCAACUCUCAGCACUGCUACACUCUUCAAG
RNAcentral lists this long non-coding RNA (1061 nucleotides) under Gallus gallus (chicken). RNAcentral's name for it is "long non-coding RNA NONGGAT005471". Lineage: Eukaryota; Metazoa; Chordata; Aves; Galliformes; Phasianidae. The record is from RNAcentral.